Molecule: long non-coding RNA, 1734 nt
Organism: Brassica rapa (field mustard)
Lineage: Eukaryota; Viridiplantae; Streptophyta; Magnoliopsida; Brassicales; Brassicaceae
Source: RefSeq, a predicted model, not a curated record
UAUUUAUAUAUCAAUUAUUAAAAUGGAAGCAUAUAUCAUACAUCAUAUUAUAUCAUGUCAUCUAACAUUAUAUAAUUCUAAAUAUUUACAAAAUCAAAUUUAAUAAAAAACACUUUAGCAAAUCAUUUGUUAAAACAAAAUUAUAUAUAUUUACGUUAAAUUAUUUUUUAUUACAUUAAUAUAUUAGAAGUUUCAUUCAUCUCUUAAAAUAUUAUUGAAGAUUAUUUUUUCCUACCAUGUAAACCAAAUGCCGGGUCACACUUGAUUGCAUGUCUUUUCGAAGCUUGCAUGCUUUAAAUUAACGAGUUUUCAUUAAAUCUAAACCAGCUUAUGUACAAGUCAUCGUGUUUACUGGUUCGACGACGGGUCCAAACUUGAUAUAAAAGUAUUGUUCUCAUCUAAUUGAAAAUAAUUUAUUUUAAAAUAAUAGACGCAUUGAGUCUGAUCAAUCAAUAUUUUUUUUUUAAAAGUAAUCAAACGAUUAAAAAUAUAAUUACAUAAUAAUAAAUUUUUUUGACAUAAUAAAUUUUGUAACAUAAUAAUGUAUAACAAGACUAAAACACUAAUUCAUAUCAUAUAUUUUUAUCAACUGAAAAAUAACCCGCGCUUUUAAGCGCGGGUCAAAAUCUAGUAUAGUUAUUAUUUUGAACUUUGUAUUCUGAACAACAACAAAUUCUGAAUUAUAUGUUUGUGUGAAUACAUAUUUCCUUAAAAGCAAAAAAAAUAUAUAUAUUUAAUGUAAUAUUUUUUUUUCUUAUAUACUAUAUUGACUUAAGGAAAUAUGUAUUCACACAAACAUACAAUUCAGAAUUUGUUGUUGUUCAGAAUACAAUGUUCAAAAAAAAAUAACUAUAUGGUUAACAUUUGAAAAUAAAAAUUGUCCCCGCACGUAACGCGGGUUAACUCCUAGUCUAUAACAAUAAAGUUAUCUUUUAUCCCUUCUCCGGCCUCCACAUCAUCAAAGAAAUAGGGGUAUUUUUUGACACUUGGCAUCAUAUUUGUAACUUUCUCGAGCUGCUUUCGGAUCUAUUGAUAAAUGAACUGGGUUUAUUAUUGGUUCAUGCUAUGGGCUCAUAUUUUUUUGUGAGGCCUAAAAGUCAUUAGGGUAUGCUUCCUUCCCGCUGGUAGCGCUCCAGCUUGGCUGUGCUUCUUCAAAUCUCACCACCUCCGAACUACGCCUCGCCUCUGUAACACAGCUUCCGUUUUUGUGUGUCUAUACCACUUCUCCCACUUUCUCGCAUUUACUCCGUUAAACCAUCCUUCCAUUACGUCUACCUCUCCACUCUCUCGCGUCCUGAUCAGCCCGAUACGACGGAGAACGCCGUCAAUCUUCGCUGCCAAGAUUUUACUGUUCCGCUUCCUCUCCCUUUGAUGUGUUUAAGAAAUGUAUACACUAAUGGUUUUCAAUCAACAUACUCACUACAUCAUCUUAAAUGCCUUUUUAUUUCUUAUCAAGCUCUCUUGGGGACUAUAUAUAUAGAAGAUGAGAGAACUUUCAUGCACAUCAUCUUCGUCCUUUCAGAUUACUGAAACCAGUCAGCGGAAACAAAGUUUGUCAAACUAAGAUCUGCGCAAAAGUUCCUCCAAUGAAAAAUUCUUAUGGUAAAAUUUAUGUGUGAUUAUUUUCCAAUAUGAUGUGCUCUUCUCAUGAAUUAGGUUUGUGAUUCUUAGCUUUUGUACUCGAACUGGUUUUGUGAAGGGUUUCUUCCAACUAAUAGUUGCCAAGUUACAAUC